Molecule: unclassified non-coding RNA, 522 nt
Filed under: Hevea brasiliensis (rubber tree)
Lineage: Eukaryota; Viridiplantae; Streptophyta; Magnoliopsida; Malpighiales; Euphorbiaceae
Source: RNAcentral
GGUUUGCAAACCCACCAAAUCAGACAUUUCCAUUUCUCCUCAAUGUUGACUACCCUCUUUUUCUCUACUUUGAUUGAAACCAGAGGUUUUCAAUGGCGUUGACGGCACAUCUCGCACGUAGUAGCAGAUCUAAUGUUCACAAAGGUACAGUGCUCACAUGACCAAUGAGUUGCGCUGUCACUACUUCUGGUGGUCGAACCAGCAGUUCGACUGACUCCCUUACCACGUCCACUUCUCCCUCCUUUACUACUUCCUGCUGUGCUUUUUGAGCUCGUUGUGCCGCUGCUUGCUCCAUGAGAGUUCACAUCUGAGAGCCCAUUCUCUAAUGCUCUAACCAGGUUCUCAAAGUAAUUUCGAGUAACACUGGUCAGACCAGCCAGCUUUGUGCGGAAGUCGUUAAAUUCUUUUGAUGGACCUUCUGCAUUGAGGAACUGGAGUAAUUCCUUUUCGGCACAUUGAUGGAGCCUUUCUAAUCCAGACUCAGCCUCACCUUGCAAAUACUCAAAAAACUGUCUCUUGGCA